GACGAACGCUGGCGGCGUGCUUAACACAUGCAAGUCGAACGGAAAGGCCCCUUUGGGGGUACUCGAGUGGCGAACGGGCGAGUAACACGUGAGUAACCUGCCCUUGACUUCGGGAUAACUUCAGGAAACUGGGGCUAAUACCGGAUAGGAAUCCUUGCUGCAUGGUGGGGGGUGGAAAGCUUCGGCGGUUUGGGAUGGACUCGCGGCUUAUCAGCUUGUUGGUGGGGUAGUGGCUUACCAAGGCUUUGGCGGGUAGCCGGCCUGGGAGGGCGACCGGCCACAUUGGGGCUGGGGUACGGCCCAGACUCCUACGGGGGGCAGCAGGGGGGAAUAUUGCACAAUGGGCGGAAGCCUGAUGCAGCAACGCCGCGUGCGGGAUGACGGCCUUCGGGUUGUAAACCGCUUUCAGCAGGGGCGAAGCUUGUGGUGACGGUACCUGCAGAAGAAGCACCGGCUAACUACGUG
RNAcentral lists this ribosomal RNA (465 nucleotides) under uncultured bacterium. Its description in RNAcentral is "partial 16S ribosomal RNA". It matches the Rfam family "Bacterial small subunit ribosomal RNA", at positions 28 to 507 of the family's 1533-position model. The record is from RNAcentral.